RNAcentral lists this ribosomal RNA (253 nucleotides) under uncultured bacterium. RNAcentral describes it as "partial 16S ribosomal RNA". It matches the Rfam family "Bacterial small subunit ribosomal RNA", at positions 524 to 776 of the family's 1533-position model. The record is from RNAcentral.
UACGUAGGGGGCAAGCGUUGUCCGGAUUUAUUGGGCGUAAAGAGCGUGUAGGCGGCUUUACAGGUCCGUUGUGAAAACUCGAGGCUCAACCUCGAGACGCCGGUGGAAACCGUAAAGCUAGAGUCCGGAAGAGGAGAGUGGAAUUCCUGGUGUAGCGGUGAAAUGCGCAGAUAUCAGGAGGAACACCCGUGGCGAAAGCGGCUCUCUGGGACGGUACUGACGCUGAGGUGCGAAAGCGUGGGGAGCAAACAGG